Molecule: unclassified non-coding RNA, 225 nt
Filed under: uncultured fungus
Lineage: Eukaryota; Fungi
Description: sequence contains ITS1, 5.8S rRNA gene
Rfam family: 5.8S ribosomal RNA (bases 177-225)
Source: RNAcentral
UCUCCGUAGGUGAACCUGCGGAGGGAUCAUUACUGAGUGAGGGUCUCCGGGCCCGACCUCCAACCCCAUGUGAACCGAAACCUGUUGCUUCGGGGGCGACCCUGCCGUUCGGCGCGGCGCCCCCGGAGGCCAUUAAACACUGCAUCAUUGCGUCGGAGUUAAAGUAAAUUAAACAAAACUUUCAACAACGGAUCUCUUGGUUCCAGCAUCGAUGAAGAACGCAGC